GGAGAGAUGGCCGAGCGGUUUAAGGCACCGGUCUUGAAAACCGGCGUAGUGGCGACACUACCGUGGGUUCGAAUCCCACUCUCUCCGCCA
RNAcentral lists this transfer RNA (90 nucleotides) under Pseudoxanthomonas koreensis. Its description in RNAcentral is "tRNA-Ser". It matches the Rfam family "tRNA". From Rfam's summary of the family: Transfer RNA (tRNA) molecules are approximately 80 nucleotides in length. Their secondary structure includes four short double-helical elements and three loops (D, anti-codon, and T loops). Further hydrogen bonds mediate the characteristic L-shaped molecular structure. tRNAs have two regions of fundamental functional importance: the anti-codon, which is responsible for specific mRNA codon recognition, and the 3' end, to which the tRNAs corresponding amino acid is attached (by aminoacyl-tRNA synthetases). tRNAs cope with the degeneracy of the genetic code in two manners: having more than one tRNA (with a specific anti-codon) for a particular amino acid; and 'wobble' base-pairing, i.e. permitting non-standard base-pairing at the 3rd anti-codon position. RNAcentral also lists the same sequence under 7 other names. The record is from RNAcentral. Lineage: Bacteria; Pseudomonadati; Pseudomonadota; Gammaproteobacteria; Lysobacterales; Lysobacteraceae.